Molecule: transfer-messenger RNA, 372 nt
Filed under: Aquabacterium commune
Lineage: Bacteria; Pseudomonadati; Pseudomonadota; Betaproteobacteria; Burkholderiales; Sphaerotilaceae
Also listed under: 1 other name
Description: Standard tmRNA
Rfam family: transfer-messenger RNA
About the family: Bacterial tmRNA, also known as 10Sa RNA or SsrA, is named for its dual tRNA and mRNA-like properties. Its role is to liberate the mRNA from a stalled ribosome.
Source: RNAcentral
GGGGCCGACCUGGUUUCGACGUGGGUGCGGAUUCGGGACAGGGCAUGUCGAGCACCAGUCAGCUCGUAAAUCCAUCUGGAAAAAAACCAAACGCCAACGAUCAAUCGUUCGCACUCGCCGCUUAAUACCGGUGAGCCUCGCAACAGUCGGCCCAUGGGCUGGGUCUGAGUCGCAAGACAAAGACUGCGAGGUCACUUUCAUGGGCUGGGUCUGCACCGGGUCACUCGGUACAGGUCGAGAUUCAGUGACUGGCUGGACUGGUAGCGUGCUGCUGCGCGAUCAGGACAGCGAGAAUCAAAUCAGACAGCUAAACAUGUAGAUCUGCUCGUUGAUGGCUGACGGACGGGGGUUCAAUUCCCCCCGGCUCCACCA